Molecule: ribosomal RNA, 461 nt
Filed under: uncultured bacterium
Lineage: Bacteria
Description: partial 16S ribosomal RNA
Rfam family: Bacterial small subunit ribosomal RNA
Source: RNAcentral
CCUACGGGAGGCAGCAGUGAGGAAUAUUGGUCAAUGGGCGGGAGCCUGAACCAGCCAAGUCGCGUGAGGGAAGACGGUCCUAUGGAUUGUAAACCUCUUUAGGCGGGGAGCAAUGCCGGGCACGCGUGCCCGGAGGGAGAGUACCCGCAGAAUAAGCAUCGGCUAACUCCGUGCCAGCAGCCGCGGUAAUACGGAGGAUGCGAGCGUUAUCCGGAUUGAUUGGGUUUAAAGGGUGCGUAGGCGGAUUUUUAAGUCAGCGGUAAAAUGUCCGGGCUCAACCCGGGCCGGCCGUUGAAACUGGGGAUCUUGAGUGGGCGAGAAGUAUGCGGGAUGCGUGGUGUAGCGGUGAAAUGCAUAGAUAUCACGCAGAACUCCGAUUGCGAAGGCAGCAUACCGGCGCCCGACUGACGCUGAGGCACGAAAGCGUGGGGAUCGAACAGGAUUAGAUACCCCGAGUAGUC